GGAAGGAUAUGAGAAUUUCUUUGGA
This 25-nucleotide non-coding RNA is filed under the name Cricetulus griseus (Chinese hamster). Lineage: Eukaryota; Metazoa; Chordata; Mammalia; Rodentia; Cricetidae. The record is from RNAcentral.